This 381-nucleotide ribosomal RNA is filed under the name uncultured bacterium. RNAcentral's name for it is "bacterial SSU rRNA". It matches the Rfam family "Bacterial small subunit ribosomal RNA", at positions 29 to 412 of the family's 1533-position model. The record is from RNAcentral.
AUUGAACGCUGGCGGCAUGCUUUACACAUGCAAGUCGAACGGCAGCACGGGGGCAACCCUGGUGGCGAGUGGCGAACGGGUGAGUAACACAUCGGAACGUGUCCAGUUGUGGGGGAUAACCCAUCGAAAGGUGGGCUAAUACCGCAUGAGCUGGCGACAGGAAAGCAGGGGACCCGCAAGGGCCUUGUGCGAUUGGAGCGGCCGAUGUCCGAUUAGCUAGUUGGUGGGGAAAGGCCUACCAAGGCUUCGAUCGGUAGCUGGUCUGAGAGGAUGAUCAGCCACACUGGGACUGAGACACGGCCCAGACUCCUACGGGAGCAGCAGUGGGGAAUUUGGACAAUGGGGGCAACCCUGAUCCAGCCAUGCCGCGUGAGUGAAGAA